RNAcentral lists this ribosomal RNA (727 nucleotides) under uncultured bacterium. RNAcentral describes it as "bacterial SSU rRNA". It matches the Rfam family "Bacterial small subunit ribosomal RNA", at positions 140 to 853 of the family's 1533-position model. The record is from RNAcentral.
GGGAUAACACUUGGAAACAGGUGCUAAUACCGUAUAACACUAUUUUCCGCAUGGAAGAAAGUUGAAAGGCGCUUUUGCGUCACUGAUGGAUGGACCCGCGGUGCAUUAGCUAGUUGGUGAGGUAACGGCUCACCAAGGCCACGAUGCAUAGCCGACCUGAGAGGGUGAUCGGCCACACUGGGACUGAGACACGGCCCAGACUCCUACGGGAGGCAGCAGUAGGGAAUCUUCGGCAAUGGACGAAAGUCUGACCGAGCAACGCCGCGUGAGUGAAGAAGGUUUUCGGAUCGUAAAACUCUGUUGUUAGAGAAGAACAAGGAUGAGAGUAAAAUGUUCAUCCCUUGACGGUAUCUAACCAGAAAGCCACGGCUAACUACGUGCCAGCAGCCGCGGUAAUACGUAGGUGGCAAGCGUUGUCCGGAUUUAUUGGGCGUAAAGCGAGCGCAGGCGGUUUCUUAAGUCUGAUGUGAAAGCCCCCGGCUCAACCGGGGAGGGUCAUUGGAAACUGGGAGACUUGAGUGCAGAAGAGGAGAGUGGAAUUCCAUGUGUAGCGGUGAAAUGCGUAGAUAUAUGGAGGAACACCAGUGGCGAAGGCGGCUCUCUGGUCUGUAACUGACGCUGAGGCUCGAAAGCGUGGGGAGCGAACAGGAUUAGAUACCCUGGUAGUCCACGCCGUAAACGAUGAGUACUAAGUGUUGGAGGGUUUCCGCCCUUCAGUGCUGCAGCA